Molecule: non-coding RNA, 26 nt
Filed under: Mus musculus (house mouse)
Lineage: Eukaryota; Metazoa; Chordata; Mammalia; Rodentia; Muridae
Source: RNAcentral
UACUCAAUGGCACACACACACACACA